CACGAGCGCACCCUUAUCUUCAGUUGCUACCAUUUAGUUGAGCACUCUGACGAAACCGCCUCGGAUAACGGGGAGGAAGGUGGGGAUGACGUCAAGUCCUCAUGGCCUUUAUGUCCAGGGCUACACACGUGCUACAAUGGCCGGUACAAACCGCUGCAACCCCGCGAGGGUGAGCUAAUCGGAAAAAGCCGGCCUCAGUUCGGAUUGGAGUCUGCAACUCGACUCCAUGAAGCUGGAAUCGCUAGUAAUCGUGGAUCAGCAUGCCACGGUGAAUACGUUCCCGGGCCUUGCACACACCGCCCGU
This 304-nucleotide ribosomal RNA is filed under the name uncultured Acidobacteriota bacterium. Its description in RNAcentral is "bacterial SSU rRNA". It matches the Rfam family "Bacterial small subunit ribosomal RNA", at positions 1091 to 1397 of the family's 1533-position model. Lineage: Bacteria; Pseudomonadati; Acidobacteriota. The record is from RNAcentral.